UUUUUUUAAAUUUUAUAUACAACAUAUCAGGUCAUAGAUCCUAGAGUAGAUUGAGUUGAUGAUUAGAUCAUGUGCAUAUUAGAUUAAUAUGAUUAAUCUAUUUAUUUUUCGUUGUAAUUUAUUCAAAAAAAAUUUGAAAUACAUGUAUAAAAUCGCCUAUGUUUUUUAACAAUGAUGGCUCCACUGAUCUGAUUGAUCAUCUAGAGAGUUACAAGAUUUUUAUGAUGAUCCAAAGGCCGAUCGACACUCUCCUAUGCAUUGGCUUCUAAGUAACC
Molecule: long non-coding RNA, 275 nt
Filed under: Elaeis guineensis (African oil palm)
Lineage: Eukaryota; Viridiplantae; Streptophyta; Magnoliopsida; Arecales; Arecaceae
Description: long non-coding RNA (EGUI_LNC060220)
Source: RNAcentral